This is a long non-coding RNA of Dalotia coriaria, 2066 nucleotides long. RefSeq lists it as uncharacterized. The transcript has 2 exons. The record is from RefSeq and is a predicted model, not a curated record. NCBI's taxonomy places the organism in Eukaryota, Metazoa, Arthropoda, Insecta, Coleoptera, Staphylinidae.
UGCACAAGCAUACCAUGGUAUAAGCAAGGCGCAGAUGGUUUUCGGCAUUGCGUGGUGGUUCGAAUUAAAUACCAAAACGAACAACGGACAAAAAGAACCAGUACACGUGACACAAACAAAGCGCCAUGACUAGCUACCAAACACGUCCGCAUCCAAUAUAGGUGUUCAAACUCAUACAUAGAAAUUCGAUAGUAUCUAAGAACGAGGGUGAUUAUUUUCUUGUAGGAAUUCUUAUUUUAUUUACCUGCUUGUAACUUGUACGUGUAGGCAAGGUAAUAAUAGGAGUAGUUUUUAUUUGUUCCGAUAAAAUACACAAGAAUUUCUUCUCAAUCGCUAUCUAAGUUUAAAUUAUCAUUACUUAGUAAAUAUUUGUCUUAUGGUUAUAUAGAUAGUGAUAAUAACAAUUCAUCAAGUCAUAUAAACACAUUCGAGAAGUGUUUGAUAGUUCUUGUUAUGUAAGUGUUGUUGCAAUAUUUCAAUGUGUCUGUGACACCCUCAACGGCAGUUAGAUUGCGAAAAUGCGUCUAGCAAGAGUCUGGGGAUGAGCAGGCGGGCUGCACGAAUUGUAUCGAUCGCCAAAAUUCGGAUGCAACGAGGGCUAACAAGAGAUAGCCAAUGCGACGGAAUGCACCAACAUCCCAAUAAGUCCCAAUGAGUUUGCGUUGCGACGUUUUUUAGCACAGGCUGUUCCUUGGUUAUACUCGUAGUUUUACCCCUCGUGUUUUGCGAGGUUCUAGAACUCAUGACAGCUUAAUAUAAACGUACACGUGCACUACUAAGAGUUUGGUGAAAUUGGAUUUUCAGAUUUCAACCCUUCUUAGUUGCAAUGAUAGGGUUUCUUGAAAAGGUUAGGGGUAAAAAUAGAUUUGUGUACGUACGAUAGCAAUAAUAUAAUCAUAUUUUAAAUUUAGUUCACGUCAAUAAAUUAAUAGCGUUUAUGUUGGCAAUAUCGCAAUUUACAUGUAGUUCUGCAAUCGUUUUCUAUUGUUUGUCUGUAUUUAAGAAAACACAGAUUAAACUUAAAUAUGAGUAUAAAUUCACCUGAAUUAGAACAGAAAAGAAGAAAACACAUCAUAUUCAAUAGUUUUUCAUAGAAAUGUUUUCUAAAAUAAUUUAAUUUUUUAUUUUUCUUUGUGAGCACUGCGUACGUUUACGCUCCACGCGCUUACCCGACCUAUAUGAGCACCUGCCGUGCUACCGCAAACCGUCAACAGCGUCAACACUCAACCAUAUCGAACAAGGAAACAAAUGCAUAAAAACUCUUACAAUUAUUAUUUUAAAAAGUUUACACUGUAGCGAAUCUCGGGUGAUAAUUUGUUAUACGACACAUACUACGCCGAAUUGUGAACUUGGUUGCCUAGCCUCAAACAUCAAGUACGUAAGAAAUAUUCUGAAGCGCAAUUUCACUAAGUGAACUCUAGCUAGAAAUAGUGUUGGCGUUUGUAUUUUACGCCAUUUAAAACUGUAACGCGGUUACAAUUCAACGGACUGCUUUUAUUGGUGUAUCUACUUACAAUGCCAAGGCCGCUUCAAGUGCUAUUUGUGUGUCGCGUGCAUAAUUUGCGUACUAUUUACGUUGGCAAAUUUUUAAUUGGCGACGGCGCAUUUAAUUUAUUGCUGACUUGAAUCAAAAUCUUUAAACAUUUAUAACAAGUAAACUAUUCAACGUACUAAUAUUUAAAAAAUCAAUGGCUAGAUAAAUUAAGAUUCUCAUUUUACAGGUACAAAUAAAGUACCUUCUACUAGAGAAAUGUGAGAAGAAGACUUCCAGUGAAGCCGAAUAUUCAUUCGCUCUUGCCGAUUAUUGUAUUUGACUGUUGGCGCCAUACAUUUUUAUAUUAAUAAUUUAAAUUCAUAUUAUUGUUAUAAAAUUUUAAGUUUUGUCGAUAUACUUUGGCUAAUCUACAUCUUCAACAUUUCGUUGUACAGUAGAUAGUAAAACAUACUUUAAAAUGCAUCACAAUGCGAUUGAAUUAUAAGUUUAUAACUAUUAAAUCCAAAAAUGGAAAUGAUUUGUUAUGUAGGUACCUAAAUAAUUAAAAUGAUUAAAUGAUUACAUGAUCAAA